AGCGAACGCUGGCGGCAGGCCUAACACAUGCAAGUCGAACGAACUCUUCGGAGUGAGUGGCGGACGGGUAAGUAACACGUGGGAACGUGCCUUUAGGUUCGGAAUAACUCAGGGAAACUUGUGCUAAUACCGAAUGUGCCCUUCGGGGGAAAGAUUUAUCGCCUUUAGAGCGGCCCGCGUCUGAUUAGCUAGUUGGUGAGGUAAAGGCUCACCAAGGAGACGAUCAGUAGCUGGUCUGAGAGGAUGAUCAGCCACAUUGGGACUGAGACACGGCCCAAACUCCUACGGGAGGAAGCAGUGGGGAAUCUUGCGCAAUGGGCGAAAGCCUGACGCAGCCAUGCCGCGUGAAUGAUGAAGGUCUUAGGAUUGUAAAAUUCUUUCACCGGGGACGAUAAUGACGGUACCCGGAGAAGAAGCCCCGGCUAACUUCGUGCCAGCAGCCGCAGUAA
This 449-nucleotide ribosomal RNA is filed under the name uncultured bacterium. RNAcentral describes it as "partial 16S ribosomal RNA". It matches the Rfam family "Bacterial small subunit ribosomal RNA", at positions 29 to 523 of the family's 1533-position model. The record is from RNAcentral.